RNAcentral lists this long non-coding RNA (227 nucleotides) under Lathyrus oleraceus (garden pea). RNAcentral's name for it is "Pisum sativum (pea) long non-coding RNA (PSAT_LNC031967)". Lineage: Eukaryota; Viridiplantae; Streptophyta; Magnoliopsida; Fabales; Fabaceae. The record is from RNAcentral.
AAUAAUGAAGCUACUCAAAUUCACAAUAACAUCCAACGCGUCAACAACCCUACAAGAAAAGAAUUAAAUAAUGAGAUUCAUGACAAUCCAAACAACAACAGAAAAAAGAUGGAGGUAAUAAGUUGAAACAUUUACAUGGCAGAAGACAUAAAUCAUCAAAUCACUAAGACCUCCAAGGAGAGGAAUUAGAAAAUUUAAUGCAGAAAGUUCCAUCAAGGAAAAAAAAC